AGUACGGUCAACAUUAGCAAAUCAGUACUAGGAAAUAGCCUGUCCACUUCCUUCCAUUUCCUUCCAACCCUGGGAACUCUCUCCAUUAAAAACAUUUCUCCACCACAUCCAUGUUUUAGACUUCUCAUUGUAUCAGCCCAAAGGAAACACUCAGCUCUCCAUUUCCAACCACAUACCAUGAAGCGAUUUCCUUCUAAGGGAGGAAAGUCACUCUUUCCAGUUUACAGCUUAAUUGCUUGGCAUCAAUCAAGAAACCCUAGUCACAUCCUGGGAAUGCUGGGACCUUCUGAAAGCAGCCUGGAAGAUCAGAAGCCUUUCCAGCUGCCCCCUAGACUCAGCAUGAUUAAAAGGUACGGGAAGACCCCCAGAUCGAAGAUGUGGAGAAAAACACCAAGAAGGAAGUCAGACGUAACCAACAAGGAGGAGAAGAUACUAUCUCUGUCUUCCAAGGCUGUUUGCUAAAAAGUAUCUUUGAAAAGAUAACCUACAACAAAAAGUCAGUGUUCCUGCUCAGGAGAUGUGCGGAAAUAUGAGAGAACCAUGGAGAAUUGCCUGUCAAGAGCAUGUGGUAAGAACUGUUAUUAUUCCUAUGGAAAAAUGAACUCAUACUACAUAACUUUCUUCUGGUGACUUUAAAAUUGAUAGAAAUUAGAGCAAAUCAGGACAUGGACUAAGGUUACAAAGACUAAUGGCAAGUCAAGGAAUUUGAGUUAACAUUAGGUGACUAGACUCUCAAAUGUGUUUCACAAGUGGGUUUCCAGAAAAACUGCUGUCAGCAAUUGAUUAUGAGAUUGGGC
RNAcentral lists this long non-coding RNA (797 nucleotides) under Callithrix jacchus (white-tufted-ear marmoset). RNAcentral describes it as "lncRNA (ENSCJAG00000071622.1)". The record is from RNAcentral. Lineage: Eukaryota; Metazoa; Chordata; Mammalia; Primates; Cebidae.